Long non-coding RNA from Bombyx mori (domestic silkworm), 573 nucleotides. RefSeq lists it as uncharacterized. The record is from RefSeq and is a predicted model, not a curated record. The transcript has 2 exons. Lineage: Eukaryota; Metazoa; Arthropoda; Insecta; Lepidoptera; Bombycidae.
CGGACUCAAUGCACACUUUAUUACAUUUGCUCUGCGUAAAUCGUAAUUCGGUUGUUACCAGAUAAGAAAAAUAAAAUAAAAAGACAUGCCGUGGGUUUCCAAUCAGGUGCCAAAUCGUAUCAUUCAUAUCUGGCUUUAAUUAGAAACUGGCAUUCAGAAACAUGUUUCUUGUUCGAAAUUUAAAAAAAAUCUUACCAUGUUCUCGAUUUGAAUGUAAUGGUAUAAUAUAAAAGCACGUCGAGAUACUCGAUCAGUACAACAAAAUCUCUCAAGUGACAAAACAUAAAAAGACUAAAAAAACCAUUCAUACCAAUUUUACAGAAACGCUGAAGUGAAAACUUUGAUACUUUUAAAUAUUAGCCUUUGCUUCGAUCUCUAUAAGAAUAUGUGUGGAGGACCCUGCGGUUCUUGCUGCGGCCCAUGCUGCGGCCCCUGCUCUCCGUGCAUCACCAUUUACACGUGCUGCACGAAGAUAUGUUAAAUUCGGAAACAUAUCGACGCGGGUGUCGUCGAUGACAACCAUCAGUGUUAAGUGCAAUAGUGAUGUUUUGUGUAAAUAAAAAAUAAGUGUAA